GGCUCAUGAUGAACGCUAGCUACAGGCUUAACACAUGCAAGUCGAGGGGCAGCAUCAUCAAAGCUUGCUUUGAUGGAUGGCGACCGGCGCACGGGUGAGUAACACGUAUCCAACCUGCCGACAACACUGGGAUAGCCUUUCGAAAGAAAGAUUAAUACCGGAUGGCAUAGUUUUCCCGCAUGGGAUAAUUAUUAAAGAAUUUCGGUUGUCGAUGGGGAUGCGUUCCAUUAGGCAGUUGGCGGGGUAACGGCCCACCAAACCGACGAUGGAUAGGGGUUCUGAGAGGAAGGUCCCCCACAUUGGAACUGAGACACGGUCCAAACUCCUACGGGAGGCAGCAGUGAGGAAUAUUGGUCAAUGGACGAGAGUCUGAACCAGCCAAGUAGCGUGAAGGAUGACUGCCCUAUGGGUUGUAAACUUCUUUUAUACGGGAAUAAAGUUAGCCACGUGUGGCUUUUUGUAUGUACCGUAUGAAUAAGGAUCGGCUAACUCCGUGCCAGCAGCCGCGGUAAUACGGAGGAUCCGAGCGUUAUCCGGAUUUAUUGGGUUUAAAGGGAGCGUAGGCGGGUUGUUAAGUCAGUUGUGAAAGUUUGCGGCUCAACCGUAAAAUUGCAGUUGAUACUGGCGACCUUGAGUGCAACAGAGGUAGGCGGAAUUCGUGGUGUAGCGGUGAAAUGCUUAGAUAUCACGAAGAACUCCGAUUGCGAAGGCAGCUUACUGGAUUGUAACUGACGCUGAUGCUCGAAAGUGUGGGUAUCAAACAGGAUUAGAUACCCUGGUAGUCCACACAGUAAACGAUGAAUACUCGCUGUUGGCGAUAUACAGUCAGCGGCCAAGCGAAAGCAUUAAGUAUUCCACCUGGGGAGUACGCCGGCAACGGUGAAACUCAAAGGAAUUGACGGGGGCCCGCACAAGCGGAGGAACAUGUGGUUUAAUUCGAUGAUACGCGAGGAACCUUACCCGGGCUUAAAUUGCAACUGACUGAACCGGAAACGGUUCUUUCUUCGGACAGUUGUGAAGGUGCUGCAUGGUUGUCGUCAGCUCGUGCCGUGAGGUGUCGGCUUAAGUGCCAUAACGAGCGCAACCCUUAUCGAUAGUUACUAGCAGGUCAUGCUGAGGACUCUAUUGAGACUGCCGUCGUAAGAUGUGAGGAAGGUGGGGAUGACGUCAAAUCAGCACGGCCCUUACGUCCGGGGCUACACACGUGUUACAAUGGGGGGUACAGAAGGCAGCUACACGGCGACGUGGUGCUAAUCCCGAAAGCCUCUCUCAGUUCGGAUUGGAGUCUGCAACCCGACUCCAUGAAGCUGGAUUCGCUAGUAAUCGCGCAUCAGCCACGGCGCGGUGAAUACGUUCCCGGGCCUUGUACACACCGCCCGUCAAGCCAUGAAAGCCGGGGGUACCUGAAGUACGUAACCGCAAGGAGCGUCCUAGGGUA
This 1438-nucleotide ribosomal RNA is filed under the name uncultured organism. RNAcentral's name for it is "16S ribosomal RNA". It matches the Rfam family "Bacterial small subunit ribosomal RNA". The record is from RNAcentral.